UAUUUAUGUGACAAUUAAAGUGUAGAAAAGUUAAGAUGGUGGCUAUCUUUGAAUGGAGGUGAUGCUUAUGCAAGUAAGCACGCAAAUCUAUGGAGAGGAGAUGCCUAUUUGUCAGCGUUUGAAGCGAUUCAAAUCAUCAUUGAUUUUGAUUUAUAUACCAUCGAAUU
This 167-nucleotide small RNA is filed under the name uncultured Lactococcus sp. RNAcentral describes it as "Listeria sRNA rli28". It matches the Rfam family "Listeria sRNA rli28". Lineage: Bacteria; Bacillati; Bacillota; Bacilli; Lactobacillales; Streptococcaceae. The record is from RNAcentral.